Molecule: long non-coding RNA, 2419 nt
Organism: Strigops habroptila (Kakapo)
Lineage: Eukaryota; Metazoa; Chordata; Aves; Psittaciformes; Psittacidae
Source: Ensembl
GUCUCGCCGCGCCUCGGCCCGCCCCCUGCGCCGGGCGGGCUUCUGUCAGCUCGGCCGGUGCCCCACGCCCUGCACAGUCUUGGUGUUGCGGCUGCUGCUGGGGGGAUCCGUCAGGUCCAGGGAUCGAGGCGAGCUUGCUGGAGAUGGAGGAUUUUGUGCUGAGAGAACGGCUGCGGCUGGGACCUCGGUGGAGACCAAGGCCUUCCCGAAUAGAAUGGCGAGCGGUGGCACUGGGAAGCAGCCGCAGCACAAGAAAGCAGCUCCCUGCCGGUGUCUGUAAGAAAACUGAGCCCAAGGGGAAAAUACCGGGUGACCAUAGGUAUUACAAAGUGGUUAGGGGCUGUUCCCCACAGUGUUGCACUUGUCCCCGCUGGCUCUCGUUCUUGUUUUCUCUGUGGCACCCCUUCAGCUGGUCGGUGCCUUCUGAAAUUCUCCUCCUCACCCACACAAUGGCUGGGCAAGAACUCGGUCCUUUAUGUGUUUGUUCUCUGCAAACAUAAUAAAUAUAUUCCGUUUCAUCAUUUGGGACAUUAAUUAAAAGAACAAAGAGACCUGUAGCCGGGACAGAUGCCACCUGAUUUGCUUUCUUGUUUUGUUUUCUUUUGUUUGUUGGGUUUUUUUAAUACUAAUAUUGAAGGAUCGGUAAUUGUUCUGGUUAUAGUUUUGGUUUUCCAGCCACUUUACACCCACUCCAUGGACAUUUCAUCAAAGCCGCGUUUUUGUUCCUGUGUUGUGUGAGAUUUACUUAAAGCUUUAAAGAUACAAAAAAUCAUCUACUGCUUCUCUCCCACCUACAAAGCUCAUAACCACAAAGUGGAAGGAAAUUAGAUCAGUUUGACAUGAUUUGCUCUUGACAAUUCCAUGAAUAGUCCUUAUUCAUGUAAGUGGUACUAUAGAAGUAAUUCAGAUCUUGGCAGUUUCAGGCCAUUAGUUUUCAAAGGUAAAAUACAGUGUAGAUAGUGUCUUUUGUUGGUAUCUGUUGUAAUAGGUAAUGGAUCAGAGGAUUUCACAUUGGUUUCAAGCGUUAUUACAAUAAACAUUUCCUCUAUUUCAUAGUAAGCGAAAUUUUUACUAUUUUAAAUGGUUUUUUUUGAUCUGUGUUAUUAAAAGUGCCAAUCAAGCAUUUCACUAAAAAAUAUCAUUUUCAAAGGCUUAUUCCAAUGCUCAGCUACCACAAAAAAAAUUCAAUUAUAAAAAUAAAUUCUUCUGCUAUCCUUUAAGUGAUUCUCAUUCAACCUCUCCUUUUUGUGGUACCCACGUGCACAUAUUUUGCAUAGCUAACAGACACCUGAAGAUGUCAAAUAGUUUCCCAAUAAUUUACCCUUCUGCCAAACCAAAAGGCAAAACAAUCCUGAAAACCAAUGAGCCACUUCAUUUUGAAGCUAUGAUACAGAUCUGCCCCAAGGGCCUUGUUUUUACUGCUUCAGGAAACCAUGUUACCUUUUGCGUUGCAAGAAAAUUGUGUAAUUGGUUUUCCUACCUUGGGCAGUUGGAGGCAGUGUUAAAGUGCAAAAUACUGUGCAUCUCAUAGAUAUAAAAUCGGUACAGCAGGAUCACUGGUAGGCAUACAGUUUAGAUAUCCAUUGCUUCAAAGUCUAUGCAAAGAAAAGAAAAUGGCAAAAAAAGUUCCAUCAUACACUCUUCGGUUCUGAGAAUAGUUGUAACAAUGACUGGAACAACCUUCAUGAAUUUUUUUGUAGUAUUGGUUUUUUGUAAAGCUGAUAUAGCACAAAAUAAAAUUGAUUUUAUGAAAAGUAAGCAGAAGGAGUUUUCCAAAACUUACUAAGAAAGAACAAUUCUCAGUAUUUUUAGUUCUAAAAUAAUUCCUUUUAGCACUGGUUUGUUAGUAGUAGGAGAGCCAAUAUGGCAGUAGGUUGUAUUGAAUGCGAAUAUGAAAAGUAGAGUUUGGCCAUUAGAAAGAAAUUUAAAUUUGUUCAGCAAUAAAGCAGGCAUUUUCAAAAUACUUUGAUUGUUAACAGUAGAAUACAUGGAUUACAGUUUGAGUAGUAUUCCAUCAUCUGUUCUAAUUACGAAGACAGUUUUAUGGAUUAUACACUUCUCAUAAUUGCUUUUGGCUUCCUACUUAAAUUUUAACAUUUGAAAGUAUUGGUCUAAGUUGCUUGCCCAACAUGUCGUCACAGUCCACAUACAGUGCUAGAACAAGAUGCUAGGAAAAUGCAACUGAAAAUUAACAAAGAUUUCACUGCCAGACUUGGGUCCUUAUGGAAACUACAGGCAAUCUCUGCAUCUGUCAGAAAAUUCCACUCCGGACUUUUUAAUAGUUCAAAAAAACAAAAGACAAAAUAUAUAAUUUUAAUGCAAAUUGAUGACAUUUUCUUCAAGUAAGUGUAAGAAAAUGUUUAAAUUGCUAUUCAGCCUGAACACUAACAUGAUAAAAAUAUAAUUUUGUCUGAAAUCA